UUUUUAGUAGUUGAAGAAAAAGAAGAAGAAAGUCGGAUUUUCUUGAAGUUACGGACAACCGAAAGCAGCAGCAGCGCCGGCAGUAGAGCGGAGAACACCUUUAAAUGGAGCAGACAGAGGAGUGGAUAAAAUGACCACUUCAUCAUCGGGGCC
Molecule: long non-coding RNA, 153 nt
Organism: Cyprinodon tularosa
Lineage: Eukaryota; Metazoa; Chordata; Actinopteri; Cyprinodontiformes; Cyprinodontidae
Exons: 2
Source: RefSeq, a predicted model, not a curated record